Molecule: ribosomal RNA, 1499 nt
Filed under: uncultured bacterium
Lineage: Bacteria
Description: bacterial SSU rRNA
Rfam family: Bacterial small subunit ribosomal RNA
Source: RNAcentral
AGAGUUUGAUUAUGGCUCAGAUGGAACGCUGGCGGCAGGCCUAACACAUGCAAGUCGAACGGUAACAGGAAGCAGCUUGCUGCUUUGCUGACGAGUGGCGGACGGGUGAGUAAUGUCUGGGAAACUGCCUGAUGGAGGGGGAUAACUACUGGAAACGGUAGCUAAUACCGCAUAACGUCGCAAGACCAAAGAGGGGGACCUUAGGGCCUCUUGCCAUCGGAUGUGCCCAGAUGGGAUUAGCUAGUAGGUGGGGUAACGGCUCACCUAGGCGACGAUCCCUAGCUGGUCUGAGAGGAUGACCAGCCACACUGGAACUGAGACACGGUCCAGACUCCUACGGGAGGCAGCAGUGGGGAAUAUUGCACAAUGGGCGCAAGCCUGAUGCAGCCAUGCCGCGUGUAUGAAGAAGGCCUUCGGGUUGUAAAGUACUUUCAGCGGGGAGGAAGGGAGUAAAGUUAAUACCUUUGCUCAUUGACGUUACCCGCAGAAGAAGCACCGGCUAACUCCGUGCCAGCAGCCGCGGUAAUACGGAGGGUGCAAGCGUUAAUCGGAAUUACUGGGCGUAAAGCGCACGCAGGCGGUUUGUUAAGUCAGAUGUGAAAUCCCCGGGCUCAACCUGGGAACUGCAUCUGAUACUGGCAAGCUUGAGUCUCGUAGAGGGGGGUAGAAUUCCAGGUGUAGCGGUGAAAUGCGUAGAGAUCUGGAGGAAUACCGGUGGCGAAGGCGGCCCCCUGGACGAAGACUGACGCUCAGGUGCGAAAGCGUGGGGAGCAAACAGGAUUAGAUACCCUGGUGGUCCACGCCGUAAACGAUGUCGACUUGGAGGUUGUGCCCUUGAGGCGUGGCUUCCGGAGCUAACGCGUUAAGUCGACCGCCUGGGGAGUACGGCCGCAAGGUUAAAACUCAAAUGAAUUGACGGGGGCCCGCACAAGCGGUGGAGCAUGUGGUUUAAUUCGAUGCAACGCGAAGAACCUUACCUGGUCUUGACAUCCACGGAAGUUUUCAGAGAUGAGAAUGUGCCUUCGGGAACCGUGAGACAGGUGCUGCAUGGCUGUCGUCAGCUCGUGUUGUGAAAUGUUGGGUUAAGUCCCGCAACGAGCGCAACCCUUAUCCUUUGUUGCCAGCGGUCCGGCCGGGAACUCAAAGGAGACUGCCAGUGAUAAACUGGAGGAAGGUGGGGAUGACGUCAAGUCAUCAUGGCCCUUACGACCAGGGCUACACACGUGCUACAAUGGCGCAUACAAAGAGAAGCGACCUCGCGAGAGCAAGCGGACCUCAUAAAGUGCGUCGUAGUCCGGAUUGGAGUCUGCAACUCGACUCCAUGAAGUCGGAAUCGCUAGUAAUCGUGGAUCAGAAUGCCACGGUGAAUACGUUCCCGGGCCUUGUACACACCGCCCGUCACACCAUGGGAGUGGGUUGCAAAAGAAGUAGGUAGCUUAACCUUCGGGAGGGCGCUUACCACUUUGUGAUUCAUGACUGGGGUGAAGUCGUAACAAGGU